This 46-nucleotide small RNA is filed under the name Bremerella volcania. RNAcentral describes it as "Acido-Lenti-1". It matches the Rfam family "Acido-Lenti-1 RNA". Lineage: Bacteria; Pseudomonadati; Planctomycetota; Planctomycetia; Pirellulales; Pirellulaceae. The record is from RNAcentral.
CCAGGGGCUGACGCCCCUGGCUAUUCUCUGUCGCCCCGUUGGGGCU